This 124-nucleotide ribosomal RNA is filed under the name Psora testacea. RNAcentral describes it as "5.8S ribosomal RNA". It matches the Rfam family "5.8S ribosomal RNA", at positions 1 to 118 of the family's 154-position model. From Rfam's summary of the family: 5.8S ribosomal RNA (5.8S rRNA) is a component of the large subunit of the eukaryotic ribosome. Lineage: Eukaryota; Fungi; Ascomycota; Lecanoromycetes; Lecanorales; Psoraceae. The record is from RNAcentral.
AAAAAAAACUUUCAACAACGGAUCUCUUGGUUCUGGCAUCGAUGAAGAACGCAGCAAAAUGCGAUAAGUAAUGUGAAUUGCAGAAUUCAGUGAAUCAUCAAAUCUUUGAACGCACAUUGCGCCC